UAGCUUUAAGGUUUUAUUUAAAGUUUUACCUGCCCGGUGAUAUUUUUAACGGCCGCAGUACUUUGACUGUGCUAAGGUAGCAUAAUAAAUUGGCUUUUAAUUAAAGUCGGGUAUGAAAGGGACUUCGGAAAGCAACUGUCUCAAAUAUAUAUUAUUUUAAAUUAUUUAAUGAGUGAAAAUCCUCAUAAACUUUUACAUUAGACGAGAAGACCCUUAGAGUUAUAAUUAAAAUGAAUUUUUUUUCAUAUCUCAUUUUUGUUGGGGCAACAAAGAUUGGACAUAACCGUCAUAAAGUUAUUUAACAUAACCAAUAUAUUUAAAAAGAAAUAAACUACCUUAGGGAUAACAGCAUAAUUAAUUUUUAGAUUGUGACCUCGAUGUUGGAUUAAGGACUUUUUUUACUAGCCGUAAAUAAAGAUGGUUCUGUUCGAACUAUAAUACCUU
This 444-nucleotide ribosomal RNA is filed under the name Vertigo trinotata. RNAcentral describes it as "partial 16S ribosomal RNA". It matches the Rfam family "Archaeal large subunit ribosomal RNA", at positions 1920 to 2666 of the family's 2987-position model. The record is from RNAcentral. Lineage: Eukaryota; Metazoa; Mollusca; Gastropoda; Stylommatophora; Vertiginidae.